GUAACUCAGCGGUAGAGUGCUUGCUUCCCAAGCAAGACGUCGAGGGUUCGAAUCCCUUC
Molecule: transfer RNA, 59 nt
Filed under: Dehalococcoidia bacterium
Lineage: Bacteria; Bacillati; Chloroflexota; Dehalococcoidia
Description: tRNA-Gly
Rfam family: tRNA
About the family: Transfer RNA (tRNA) molecules are approximately 80 nucleotides in length. Their secondary structure includes four short double-helical elements and three loops (D, anti-codon, and T loops).
Source: RNAcentral